This 170-nucleotide non-coding RNA is filed under the name bovine gut metagenome. Its description in RNAcentral is "Lysine riboswitch". It matches the Rfam family "Lysine riboswitch aptamer". From Rfam's summary of the family: Riboswitches are metabolite binding domains within certain messenger RNAs that serve as precision sensors for their corresponding targets. Allosteric rearrangement of mRNA structure is mediated by ligand binding, and this results in modulation of gene expression. The record is from RNAcentral.
UUUGAUAGAGGUCGCGCGCCUGAUCAGUAGACUGCCGGAUGUUCCCGGAUACAGAGGAAGGCAGAGGAAAGGGAGGCGCGCCGAAGGUAUGCUGUGAUCGGGGGCAGCAGUUCCUGGGUGCAGAUCGAACAGGUCUGCAACUGUCAUCAUGCACGUGAUGGAGCGCUAUG